RNAcentral lists this unclassified non-coding RNA (927 nucleotides) under Hevea brasiliensis (rubber tree). Lineage: Eukaryota; Viridiplantae; Streptophyta; Magnoliopsida; Malpighiales; Euphorbiaceae. The record is from RNAcentral.
UAUGCGAGUAUUACCAGUUGCAUUACCCUGCGAGGGGCUGUUCUGUUAAGUUUCAUCCUUUGGAGCACCUGCAUCCCUUGGAGUAUUAUAGAUCGGGCAAAACAGUUCUACAUGUUGCUGGCUCAACCAUUGAUCCAAGAUCAUGCAGUACAAGUCUUGAAUUAGCAGAGGCACAAGGUGCUCUCAUGGUAGAGGAGGAAGCAAAUGCCUUGUCAAUAUGGACUGUUGCAAGCAUUUGUGGUUCUUUACGCCUUGAGCAUAUUUUAUCAAUUUUAGCUGGAGCGCUGCUGGAGAAGCAGAUUGUGAUUGUUUGUUCUAAUCUGGGUAUCCUGUCAGCUUCAGUUUUAUCAAUUAUCCCUAUGAUUCGUCCCUACCAGUGGCAAAGUUUGCUGAUGCCAGUGUUACCAAAUGACAUGCUGGACUUUUUGGAUGCUCCUGUUCCUUACAUAGUUGGUGUGAAAAAUAAAACCAGUGAAGUACAAUCAAAGUUAACCAAUGCCGUCUUGGUUGAUGUGAACAAAAACCAGGUCAAGGCCCCAACAAUACCUCAGUUGCCAAAACAGAAGGAGUUAUUCUCAUCAUUAAGACCGUAUCAUGCGGAGCUAGUUGGAGAGAGUUUUUUAGGGAGAAAGAGGCCAGUGCAUGAAUGCACUGAUGUGCAGGUUGAAGCUGCCAAGGGUUUCCUAAAAGUGCUUAGAUUAUACUUGGACUCUCUCUGCUCUAACCUUCGUUCACAUACAAUUACUAAUGUACAAUCAAAUGAUGAUAAGGUAUCAUUACUCUUGAAGGAGAGCUUCAUCGAGUCGUUCCCAAGCCGUGAUCGGCCGUUUUUGAAGCUUUUUGUGGACACACAGUUGUUCUCUGUACAUACAGAUCUCGUUCUCUCUUUCUUCCAGAAGGAAUGAUCCCACCGUGACAUGAACUGAU